Apis cerana (Asiatic honeybee) is the source of this 1171-nucleotide long non-coding RNA. RefSeq lists it as uncharacterized. NCBI's taxonomy places the organism in Eukaryota, Metazoa, Arthropoda, Insecta, Hymenoptera, Apidae. The record is from RefSeq and is a predicted model, not a curated record.
AUACUGACGUCGUCUCGGAGCAAACUGUUGCGAGGAAUAACCACGAUUACGGCCGUAACUACGACUCGACUCGGCUCCGCUCGACGACGCGACUGGUACGCACGAGGUCUCCGUCAUGAGCGCACACACCGAUUUCCACCGCCUCUUCCUCCACCUCCUCGUCGCCGCCGUCGCUCGUCUCGUCCCGUCCGUCUCGUCUCGGCGCGCCGAUACACCGACCGCAGCAUACUAAACACACAAGGGAGAUUGUUAAACAUGGCCGUCGCCGCCGCGCCAUUAUUUGUCGCGUUCGCCGCAAGAGGCGCCACUUCUCGCGAUCCAUGCAACUGGAACACGUUGUGAAGCAGGAUAAGCGGCGGAAGGGAAAGGUGGUGAUGACGGAGGGUGAGGGAAAGAAACGAACAAGGGCGGGGGGGAGGUUAUCCCAGGCAAGAAGGGGGGCAAAACGCAAGGUGGACUCGUCUGAAGACGGGGGGCGUCAGCCGGUCGCGGUUACUCGAGCGGGCGAGCAGACUGACGCCAGCGCCUCUGCCUAGCGCCAGCGCCAGUCACCGACAAGUACUCCACCCUGAGGGUCAACAUUCCACGAUGAAUUUCAGUCAUGAUAUUUCUCGUAAAGGAGACAUCCGUUUCAACGUGUCAUCGUCAUCGAAUGAUGAAAGAAUAUUAAAGAAGAACGGUUAUCGGUCAGACAGAAAAGAAUUCGCUUUAUGGAGUCGCUUUCUAGAUGACGCUCCUCGAUCUGAAUAAUACCGAUAUAUUUCUUUGGUAUAUACUCACGCGAUUUUAGAUUCAGUCCACAGGAACGAAUACUUGCGAGUUCAUCGGUGAAUCUACAACAGAAUUUUGAAUUUAUACUUAGUAAUACUUCGUUUGUAUUCUUUGGUUGAAAUGAAAGUAUGUAGGUUAUGAAAACUGUUAAUAUCGAAGGUUAAAGUGAGUUAACCUUAACGUGAUUUUUAUUGUUAAAACUCUUUUAUAUAAUUUAUUGUUGUUAUUAAUCAAUUUUUUUUUAAUCAUUAAUAUUAAUAGUAUCGAUUAUUUUGAAAAUAACUCGAUUAAUAAAAAUUCAUAAAAGAAUCAAUUUUUAUGAUACUACAAGAUAUUUAUAAAUAUGUAUAAACUUUGUAUAUACUUUCUCGUAUUAAAUGUUUGAUAUUUCUUCCAUCAA